This is a long non-coding RNA of Myotis davidii, 84 nucleotides long. RefSeq lists it as uncharacterized. The record is from RefSeq and is a predicted model, not a curated record. The transcript is spliced from 3 exons. Lineage: Eukaryota; Metazoa; Chordata; Mammalia; Chiroptera; Vespertilionidae.
CGCAGCCUGCUGAAGCCUGGGCUUGUGCUAUGAGCAGCAAUCAAACUAUGACAUCCUGAUUCAUAGGUCAACGCUCAACCACUG